RNAcentral lists this ribosomal RNA (253 nucleotides) under uncultured bacterium. Its description in RNAcentral is "partial 16S ribosomal RNA". It matches the Rfam family "Bacterial small subunit ribosomal RNA", at positions 524 to 776 of the family's 1533-position model. The record is from RNAcentral.
UACGUAGGUGGCAAGCGUUGUCCGGAAUUAUUGGGCGUAAAGCGCGCGCAGGCGGUCCUUUAAGUCUGAUGUGAAAGCCCACGGCUCAACCGUGGAGGGUCGUUGGAAACUGGGGGACUUGAGUACAGAAGAGAAGAGUGGAAUUCCACGUGUAGCGGUGAAAUGCGUAGAGAUGUGGAGGAACACCAGUGGCGAAGGCGACUCUUUGGUCUGUAACUGACGCUGAGGCGCGAAAGCGUGGGGAGCAAACAGG